RNAcentral lists this ribosomal RNA (253 nucleotides) under uncultured bacterium. RNAcentral's name for it is "partial 16S ribosomal RNA". It matches the Rfam family "Bacterial small subunit ribosomal RNA", at positions 524 to 776 of the family's 1533-position model. The record is from RNAcentral.
UACGUAGGGGGCAAGCGUUGUCCGGAAUCAUUGGGCGUAAAGCGCGUGUAGGCGGUUCGGUAAGUCUGCUGUGAAAGUCCAGGGCUCAACCCUGGGAUGCCGGUGGAUACUGUCGGACUAGAGUACGGAAGAGGCGAGUGGAAUUCCUGGUGUAGCGGUGAAAUGCGCAGAUAUCAGGAGGAACACCGGUGGCGAAGGCGGGUCUCUGGGCCGAUACUGACGCUGAGGAGCGAAAGCGUGGGGAGCGAACAGG